UCUGGUGGCCGCCGAGAAGAGCACGCAAGCAUAUGGGUUACAUAUUCUGGUGACCCACGACAAGAGCACGUAAGCAUAUACAUAUUCUGGUGACCGCCGAGAAGAACACGCAAACAUAUGGGUAUUGCUGCCAUAAUAGUUGGCUCGCUACAACUGAACCUUUGAACCCUUUGAACCCGACGCGCUGGUUCAUACAUGCCUCGUGAGGACAUAUCCGAGGCGCCCUGAGGAGGAUCCAGGUUCUAUAAAAACAUUACUUUGUUCUUCUGUGCUGCAAAACAUUCGAACAAUUAUUUAUUAUUAUUGUGUCAUUUAUUUUUCAUUUUUUUGGUGAAAGACAUUUUGGAGUGACAAUUGACUUUUUAAAUUUUAAAUUCCGUAUAAGAACUUUUCUUCUUCACGCAUAAACAAUAGAGACAUUAAGUGACUUUGAAUUAUCAAAAUUUGAAAAAUGAUAUUUGUAAACAUUUACAUUUUAUUUUAUAUUUUAUAUAUUAUUCAUUUUGUAAUUUUUUAUGUUGUGAUUCUUUUUAUUUUGUGUAAGGUUUUCAGCUAUUUAAAAUGGAACAGAGGGUCCGGCAGCUUAAUUAUUAAUGACGAAGUGCUAGGGAAUUAAGCGGUCGGCUGAUCGACAACACGACUAGUCUUUCUUAUAUGGCAUCCAUAACUACGGAUGACCAGGUUAGCGUAAAAACCAUAAAUGGUAAGCAUGAAAUAUUAUUCAAGUUUCCUGCUAUUUUAAGGCCUCCAGGCCUGUGCGUGAGAUCAAACAUACCACGGUGCACCUCAUCCGAACGACGGAUGGUCCGCCGGUAUCGUGUCGUCCACGCCGCCUAGGCCCUCACAAAUUAGCCAUCAAGGAUCUUCAGGAGUUUCCCUUGCCGAAGACGGUACAAGGUCUUCGAAGA
Molecule: long non-coding RNA, 908 nt
Organism: Maniola jurtina (meadow brown)
Lineage: Eukaryota; Metazoa; Arthropoda; Insecta; Lepidoptera; Nymphalidae
Exons: 2
Source: RefSeq, a predicted model, not a curated record